RNAcentral lists this long non-coding RNA (1203 nucleotides) under Oreochromis niloticus (Nile tilapia). Its description in RNAcentral is "lncRNA (ENSONIG00000042879.1)". Lineage: Eukaryota; Metazoa; Chordata; Actinopteri; Cichliformes; Cichlidae. The record is from RNAcentral.
AUGGGCAGUAAAAAAAUUAAGGACAAUCCAGAAAGAAAAAGCUCCAAGAAAAAGUACACUAGCACAAAAACAGAGGCCCCAGAGAAAACAGAGGCAGCUCAUGAAUUUGAAUGUUGGUCGCAGACUUCCAACACAGUUGUCAUGGAAGAACUAAACUAUGCGCCUUAUUUCUUUUCACAGAAAAAAACGUUUUGCAAUAACUCUCGAAGUCACAUAACAAUGCACAACGUGGGUAAUUUAACACUCAAUAUCACUAAUGGUAUGAUUGAUGUCAGGAAUAAUCAGUUUGACUUGAUUAAUAACCGGCAAUUCCCUUUCAUACGAAAUCACGAAACAAUAACUGACAAGCCCAGAACUGCAAUAGACAAUAAAGACUGUGACUCCACGCAAAGCAGCACUGAAAAUUUAGAGGAUCAGGAAGAACACGAAAAAGACUGUGAAAAUUUAGAGGAUCAGGAAGAACACGAAAAAGACUGUGAAAAUUUAAAGGAUCAGGAAGAACACGAAAAAGACUGUGAAAAUUUAGAGGAUCAGGAAGAAACGAAAAUUAAAAAAAACAAAAAAGACUGUGAAAAUUUAGAGGAUCAGGAAGAACACGAAAAAGACUGUGAAAAUUUAGAGAAUCAGGAAGAACACGAAAAAGACUGUGAAAAUUUAGAGGAUCAGGAAGAACACGAAAAAGACUGUGACUCCACGCAAAGCACCUCUGAAAACUCAGAGGUGCUUUCUGUGGAGGAAGAACACGAAAAAAACUGUGACUCCACGCAAAGCGCCUCUGAACACUCCGAGGAUGAGGAAAAAUACAGAUUUUCACUGGAAAUCUGUUUGGAACAGCUGGUUGAAAAGUUUGUAAAAAAAUCAGGCAUAGUCAUCAGUCCGGAAAGGAUUUUUGCCAUCUACAACAGGCUUACCAACAAAAUUUGGGCUGAAAUAAGGGGUGACAUUGAUAAAAUCCCCUUAAAGAAGUUAAAAAACUUCCACAAGGUCAUUUUCAAAGCCCUGUGUAAAAGGUGGAAAGAUCCAGAAUUAAUUCUGGAAAUCAUGGAAUCAGAUAUCCCAAGAUUCGACGAUAAAAUUGUUGACAUUUUCAUAGAGGAGGCAGCCAAACUAUCGAAGAAACCAGGUUGCAUACGUCGUUUUUUCUCAUUUAUAGGCCGACUGUUUUGUUGCACCAGGAGACAAAACAAGGUUGAUGUAAUGUAG